UACGGAGGGUGCAAACGUUGCUCGGAAUCAUUGGGCGUAAAGCGCACGUAGGCGGCCUGUUAAGUCGGGUGUGAAAGCCCUGGGCUCAACCCAGGAAGUGCACUCGAAACUGGCAGGCUUGAAUAUGGAAGAGGGUCGCGGAAUUCCCGGUGUAGAGGUGAAAUUCGUAGAUAUCUGGAGGAACACCGGUGGCGAAGGCGGCAUCCUGGACCGGCAUUGACGCUGAGGCGCGAAAGCCAGGGGAGCAAACGGG
This 253-nucleotide ribosomal RNA is filed under the name uncultured bacterium. Its description in RNAcentral is "partial 16S ribosomal RNA". It matches the Rfam family "Bacterial small subunit ribosomal RNA", at positions 524 to 776 of the family's 1533-position model. The record is from RNAcentral.